This is a long non-coding RNA of Podarcis raffonei (Aeolian wall lizard), 1951 nucleotides long. RefSeq lists it as uncharacterized. The transcript is spliced from 2 exons. Lineage: Eukaryota; Metazoa; Chordata; Lepidosauria; Squamata; Lacertidae. The record is from RefSeq and is a predicted model, not a curated record.
UGAAACCAGACCUGGAGCCGUAGAAGAUAAAGGAGGGAAAAGACAAGCAUUGCUGAGAGCCCGUCCAAGCAGAGAACUCUAGUGUGGUUCAGUGGACAGAGAGCAGCAAUUUGAUCUCCUGCAUCUGAAUUCAAGCCCUAAUUCUGCCUUAGAUACGUUGAUUUCUUUUGUUGUUUGUAGCACUUCUACCCUAAAGCCAAAGAAAAGGCUCCCAGAGUUGCGUACAGAUAACUACAGAAAGACGGACAGGACGAACAAAAUGAAAAUGGUGUAAGAGGGAGGAAGAAGCAAGCAAGCUCAGACACAAGUUCUUAGUUCUAUGGUCAUCUGGUGUGGUGACCAAUAGGUGGAAAAGUUCAGAAGAGUUAGCUGAUCUCUCCAUUUUGCUGCAGUCAGAUGCAAUGGCUGCUGGAGGGAGAGAAGCCUAGCUUCUUGCAGCAGAGAUGGAAGUGGCCAUCAGUGGGUUGUCAGCACCCGGGGCAAGGCAAGUAAUUUGCGCCCCCUAACCCGUGGAUUUUAGUAGGGGCAGAGAGCUGCGAGUGCGAGCGCGCGCCCCCAGAUGUUGCGCCCAGUGCGGCCGGCCCCCCUGCACCCCCCACGCUACGCCACUGGUUGCCAUGCAUCUGUUUUCUUCCCUCUGUUACAGCCACGAUUAUGUGACUUUCUCAGCUUCAAUUUCUGCAUUCCAAAAAUAUUAUCUGCAUUGGGAUAAUAUUUAUUUCACAAGUUUAUAUACAGUUGUGUUUCUUUUGUAAUAAAACCUCUGGGUGGUUUGCAAAAAAAAGAGUAAAAAGAUAAAAUAGUUUCCCAAUGUAAAUUAUUGCCAUUAUUAAUGACAUUGUAGCAACUCCCCCCCCCCAAAAAAAAUCCCAAGGCAGAUUCAUAUCUGGGGUUAUUGUUUCUGUGUAUUACUCUGUACUUUUGUGCUUUUGUGUUGUAAACCACCCUGUGAUCCUUGAAGGGCAUAAAAGAAAUUUCAUAGAUAAAAAGCAUUCCUGCCAAACCAGACGAUCCACAGUGCCGUGUGGCACAAACAGAAGCAGCUCCUAGUUUACCUGAUGAGGAGCUCCAUGACAAUACAAGCCUUACACACGCUCAAUUGAUACGGCUAGGAGGAAAGCCUUGGAGCUGCUUUUGGCAUCCCUAAAGAUCUAAGAGGGUUUAUUGUUGUGUCAAACCAUCGGAGGAUUCACCGGCCUUGCAAUUAAUGUCACGUCCAAAAUCUACCUCUGCAUAUGUUUGAAUGGGUGCUGCUUUCUGCACCUUCUCUGAACGUGACCAGAUGAAAAAGAGGAGAGGGUUAGUAAAAGGUAAAAGUGAGGGGAUUUGCAAAUUUCCCCACCCUGCUUGACAAGCUGCAACAGCUGAUAUUCCUUCUUCCACAACAGAUCUUUAUAAAAGCCCCAAAAUUCUAUACAUUUCUUUCAUUCUGUUUCUGCAUCUGAGGUCCAUAGCAGCCUCCAGAUAUGCUUUAUCAACCCCAUGAAGUGCAGGAUCGUGGAAUUUAAACCCACAGGACAGAGUGCAUAUUCUGGAAGAAGCAUAACUGCCAAAGCCACAAAUUCAAAAAUGCUCCACAGAAGUGUCCUACCUACUCGGAUAACAAAAUGUAUUGCUAUAGAAACACAAGUCUCCCCUUCCUUCAUAUAUAGACAGUUUAGCCAUCCUGUUUGGUCCACGCCUUGGAAUUCCCCCUCUCUUACUUUGCAGCUCCUUGGGCUGCAAAACUUUAUGACACUGUAGCCAUCGAUAACGCUGAGUCAAUAAUAGAAAUUGAGCAAUAUUCAAUCUAUGAUCUCUUAGCCCUGGCCCCCAAACCAAUCCCCUUAGCACAAAUAGGCAUUGCAUCACCCUAGCUAAAUUGAUUAGGUCAAAAUAGAGUCCUUAAUUAAUGAGAAGUCAGGGCUUGUCAACAUGAAAUCCAUUAAAGACCAGUUCAGUUUUAAUUUCA